This 2054-nucleotide long non-coding RNA is filed under the name Homo sapiens (human). Its description in RNAcentral is "HSALNT0071741". The record is from RNAcentral. Lineage: Eukaryota; Metazoa; Chordata; Mammalia; Primates; Hominidae.
CUUCAAUUAACCCAAAAUAAAUAAUUAUAAACUCACUUUCUAUUAUAAAUGUCUGUAAUCAAAGGCCUAAGAAUAGGAAGUUUAUUAUUACCAUAUUGUUAUAGAAAUAAUCUGUUGAUAUUUUCUCUUCUAUAUAGAAACAUCUCAUCUAUCUACUUGAGCACUGGGUUGAAAAUGGAAAUCAGGAGCCCUGAGCACAAGGUUCUACAUUCCAGCUGGUGCAAAAACUGAGCGGUCAUUUGGCACUGCACUGUCACUAAGGAUUUCACCAAAAAGGUGAUAGCUUCUAUUUGCAAAGGGGCAGUGACCAUGAGCUCUAUUGAAAAACAUGAAUAUCUGCAUCUUCGGCCUGCUGAAUGCUCACGUAGGUUUCUCCAGUCCCCAUGAAUACUCUCUCUGGCAAUUUUCCUCAUGCAAAGCAGACAUUGAAUAAAACAGGUUGGUUUUUUUUUUUUUUCAUUUAUUUAAGCAAAAUACAUAGGUAACUCUAGCAGUGCAUUUUAGUUUCAGAGUUCUCUGUCUUCCUUACUUCUAAUCUAUUUUCAUAUUAUAUUUUCUCUUUAUCAGUGAGAUCUCACCAUACUGACAUCAAUAAAUCUUACCAUUCACUCCAACCCUAUGUCAGGGUUGAGAGCUGUUUUCUUCCUCUCAGACCUUUCUGUCACAUUUCAGGCUACACAUCCAAGGCUUGGCUUGAGGUUUUAGAACAGUAAUACCAAAGUAUGCCAUGACCUAGUCAUUGAGUCUAGGUUUCUUUCCCAACUAUAUCAUUUUAUAGGUGAAAUGACCAUAACAACUAUCCCCACAAAUCUUUUUGUGGUAAUACUUAUGUUCCAGGAGUUGGGGAAAAGGGUUGGACAUGAUACAGUCUUCUUAACGUACAGAAGGUUAAUUUUUCGGUUCCUUAAGAUUAAAUCUAAGAUGUUGAAGUAAAAAGUGCUUCUUCUUUUAAAAGAAGCACAAAAUUAGCAGCCUGAUUAACCAUACAGUUGCUUCAAAGCCCAAAUACAAUGCAAAUACACCUAUUUUAUAAAUUUUAAGCACUAAGGACAAUUCAGAGAAAUGAAAAGGAGAAGUAGAAUUGGAUUUGAGAGAGAAGCAUCUUUAAUAGGAUUGCACUGCGAUAAAAAGAGUAGUAAUUACUCUAUAUAGUUUUAUUUUUACUUUACAAAAUAUAAAGCAAUAAGAUUUCUGAGGCCUUCAAUAUUUAUUAACCACUAAUUGUAUUAGUUUAUAUCAAACUUACUCCAAAAUAUUAUUUAAAGAGGUAUUAGAUAGAAUAGCGAAGAAGAAUUUUAAAGAUGAUUAUGAAAGAAAAAAGAUGUAAAAGGGUAUGCAAGACCCAUAUUAUGAAAGCAUUACUGUUAUGCAUCAAAUUUAGCUCUGGACACCUUAGAAUUCAGGAAUGAUAUGUAAAAUAAAGAGUGCUCAGGUCUUAAUACCUGGGUGAUGAAAUAAUCUGUACAACAAUCCCCCAUGACACAAGUUUACCUGUGUAACAAACCUGCACGUACUUCUGAACUUAAAAGUUAAAAAAAUGAAACAAAGAGACAGGGGCUUGGGAAAUACAAAUAUAACAAAGAUUUUGCUCUUGUCUUCUAGGAGCUUACAACCCAUGAGGAAAAGCAUAUUUUUUAAAAAAAUAAUAAAACCACAGCAUAAAAUCAAGAGCAGAGUUAAGAUCUUGUUUCUGGAAAGAGAACAGGAUACUUCUUCCUAUAAACUUGAGGGAAAGAUGAUUGGUAAAGCUAUAAACACGUUUUUAGGGUGAAGAGAGGAGACUACAGACAAUGCAUGUCAGGCUUUUAUUUUCUUACUAACUAGUAAAUGAAGUUGCCCACUGCUCUUAGAAGUGGGUUUAUUAUUUCAGGGUCAGUAGAAAAUGUGUACAAUGGUUAUUAAGAAGAAUAUACUAGGAAAGAGAUUUUUCAUUGUACCAAUCACUAAAAGUAGUCUGUCAAUAAAUAUAAAAUAAAGUUGGCUGAUUUUUCUCUAAAUAUUGCAAGAACAUUCUCUAAUGAUCGUCUUUCAGAUCAGAUAAUAUUUGGUAGGCC